CUAGACAAGCCUUCGACAUACAAGUACAUGACCCCACACUUCGGCCUGCCUUCCAGACUCCCAGUUAUCUGACUGGGAUAUUACACCAGGAAACACUGUUGGGAAAUCCUAAUCAGAUGUAGACCGCCUGAGCGAUGGAAGCCGUUUCAAUUGUCUGAGCGAUGGAGGCACUUCUAUUGGUUGCAAAAUCAUUUUAGACAGUGAGGACUUUGAAUUUCCCAGAAACCAAAUAGCCAGUGACAACUUUUUGCGCAUUGGCAAGGAACAGCACCUGCAGGCACGCAGUCUUGAUAGUGUUUACAGACUGUUAAUGGAGUGGGAUCCAGACAAACUCUUCACUUACAGGAGUUUUUAGCAAUCACCAUAGGUACAUGCAUUUCAAGUGAUCAUUGUGAAGUCAAAUGACAAAUGGACAGGAAGGAUAAACCACAGCUUCAGGUCAGGCCCUUCCCAUCCAAAAUUCGUUCUUCUUUCAAGGAAAAAAGGUUCCUCUAGCCAACACGAUCCUCUUACAGAGAAGAAAAGGAAACCUUUCACAUCAUCUGAUAAAGGUUCUAUCCAAAGGAGGAGGAUCUCCGGAAUGACGGUGUGUGUUAUCCUCCGUUAUACGUAGAGAAGAACGUCGUUCCUGCCUCCAG
Magallana angulata is the source of this 638-nucleotide long non-coding RNA. RefSeq lists it as uncharacterized. NCBI's taxonomy places the organism in Eukaryota, Metazoa, Mollusca, Bivalvia, Ostreida, Ostreidae. The transcript is spliced from 5 exons. The record is from RefSeq and is a predicted model, not a curated record.